This 2396-nucleotide long non-coding RNA is filed under the name Mus musculus (house mouse). RNAcentral describes it as "RIKEN cDNA 4930420G21 gene". The record is from RNAcentral. Lineage: Eukaryota; Metazoa; Chordata; Mammalia; Rodentia; Muridae.
UUGCUCCUUCCGGUGCUAGUGAGAUUUCUCUUUCUUGUCCUCUUCUUCCUUUUGUUCUCUUACGCUGCCUGCUCUCUGCCCAGGUCUAGGCUGAGAGGAGAGAACCUGGUCCACCUGAGGCUCUCCUGGGCUGAAGAGGGAUGGGGCCUUACAACUGCAGGACUCUUAUAUGUCUUAUCCUACAUUGGGAUCCCUGCUUGUGACAGAAGUUCCCCAUUCCAGAUGGAGCUCCCUAGCACAAAACAUCAACAGGCCACAAGUGACAGCUGCAACAGCAGUGGAGCAAAGCAAACUGUAAGAAGCUGCUGCCAAUUUCCAGAGACUUCAGACUGGCACCCGAAGAGUCCACAGGUGUGAGCCACAGUGACUGCCUACUGAUUGAGUCUGGGGAUCCUUGUGAACCGCCUGAACAAUGCUGGGAAAUGCCUGUGCCUGAGUGACCCCAGCUAUGGCCAGUACUCAAUUACUACUUUGGCCUUUUGGUACUGUCCCAAAAGAAGCUGCUAUCCUGAAUUCAGUGGCCAGGGACUAUCGGCAACUGAAAGCAUUUAACAGUAUAGGAUAAAGACUUAGAAGAGUCCCCUGUGAGUGGAAUCAGGCACUGUCAGCUUCCCAUGGCACAUGUGAUGUGGAUUCCUUGUGAUGACACUGUGAUCUUCAGCUCUCAAGCCAUUGAGAACCUGAAAAGAAAUGGGACCAGAAACAAUAGAGGAAUGAAAAUAUAGGAGAAGGGUUUAAGGAUCCAGAGUUCCAGGGAGCUGUCUUCAGGGCUGAGAACUGUAACACUAAUCCCUGUACAGGUAAAACCUACAAGUCCUAAUGCUAGAAGUCUUCAUGUGGAUUAUAAUAUGUAGAGGUAAAGGUUCUGAUAAUUCAGCCCAGCGAAGGGACUGAAGUCUUUGAGGAUACUCCUUGAUGUCAUGUCUACUACAAACCUGUCUUACCAUCAGACACACAGGGGAAAAGAAAAUAUACCAGAAGCCAGCAUUUCUUUUUUUUUAAUUAGGUAUUUUCCUCAUUUACAUUUCCAAUGCGAUCCCAAUGCUAUUCCAAUGCAUACCCCCCCCACUCCCCUACCCACCCACUCCCCCGUUUUGGCCCUGGCGUUCCCCUGUACUGGGGCAUAUAAAGUUUGUAAGUCCAAUGGGCCUCUCUUUCCAGUGAUGGCCUACUAGGCCAUCUUUUGAUACAUAUGCAGCUAGAGUCAAGAGCUCCGGGGUAUUGGUUAGUUCAUAUUGUUGUUCCACCUAUAGGGUUGCAGAUCCUUUUAGCUCCUUGGGUACUUUCUCUAGCUCCUCCAUUGGGAGCCCUGUGAUCCAUCCAAUAGCUGACUGUGAGCAUCCACUUCUGUGUUGGCUAGGCCCCGGCAUAGUCUCACAAUAGACAGCUCUAUCUGGGUCUUUCAGCAAAAUCUUGCUAGUGUAUGCAAUGGUGUCAGCGUUUGGAGGCUGAUUAUGGGAUGAAUCCCCAGAUAUGGCAGUCUCUAGAUGUCUCAGCUCCAAACUUUGUCUCUGUAACUCCUUCCAUGGGUGUUUUGUUCCCAAUUCUAAGAAGGGGCAAAGUGUCCACACUUUGAUCUUCGUUCUUCUUGAGUUUCAUGCGUUUAGCAAAUUGUAUCUUAUAUCUUGGGUAUCUUAAGUUUCUGGGAUAAUAUCCACUUAUCAGUGAGUACAUAUUGUGUGAGUUCCUUUGUGAUUGGGUUACCUCACUCAGGAUGAUGCCCUCCAGGUCCAUCCAUUUGCCUAGGAAUUUCAUAAAUUCAUUCUUUUUAAUAGCUGAGUAGUACCAGCAUUUCAAAAAGCUUCUUGCUACCCAUGAUUCCUAUCCAAGAAGAACAAACCAAUCCUCAGCUUAUUAGUGAGAAGUACACCACUGAGGUCACAAUUCAAACAAACUGUGACAUCAUUGCUUUCAAUGUCCUGUUGGCUAGUACGAGUCACAAGGUCAUCCCAAGGCAGGAGGAAGAAUGAGACACCUUAAAUGGAUGGGUCAAAGAGGACUUCUCGGGGUUUAGAAUAUUUUAGAAACCAAACAUAUUUCCUUAUGUGGAAAAGCUAGCCCAUGGCCUUAACAGAGGAAAUGUCUAUAAACUCUGCUUUGAAGACUGGUUUUGGUUCAAUGAUUUUGACAUCUCAAAUGUAAAUCUUUGACAUGGUUUAUCACUUAAUUUUUAAUAGUCAAACCACUCUUCAGAAAUCAUGGGAAACAAUUGCCUUAGAAAGAUAAAAAAAACCACAACAAUAACAAAUUCUGUGUGUGAAUUCUAACUCUUCAGCUUCAUUAGAUGUUCCUAUUUCCAUCUCUUUGCUUCUAUUGUGUAUUUUAAUGAAAACAGGACACAAAUCGAGCAAACACAACCAGGAACUGUCUAAUACAAAUAUAUGGUUCUUCAAUUU